Phthorimaea operculella (potato tuberworm) is the source of this 76-nucleotide non-coding RNA. The record is from the annotation of a GenBank genome assembly. NCBI's taxonomy places the organism in Eukaryota, Metazoa, Arthropoda, Insecta, Lepidoptera, Gelechiidae.
ACCGCGGUAGCCCAGUAGGUUAGGGCGUCGGCAGUACUGAUGUUAAAGGUCGCAGGUUCAAAUCCUGCCUGCGAUG